Molecule: ribosomal RNA, 429 nt
Filed under: Pseudomonadota bacterium
Lineage: Bacteria; Pseudomonadati; Pseudomonadota
Description: Proteobacteria bacterium partial 16S ribosomal RNA
Rfam family: Bacterial small subunit ribosomal RNA
Source: RNAcentral
UGGGGAAUAUUGGACAAUGGGCGAAAGCCUGAUCCAGCCAUGCCGCGUGUGUGAAGAAGGUCUUCGGAUUGUAAAGCACUUUAAGUUGGGAGGAAGGGCAGUAAGCGAAUACCUUGCUGUUUUGACGUUACCGACAGAAUAAGCACCGGCUAACUCUGUGCCAGCAGCCGCGGUAAUACAGAGGGUGCAAGCGUUAAUCGGAAUUACUGGGCGUAAAGCGCGCGUAGGUGGUUCGUUAAGUUGAAUGUGAAAGCCCCGGGCUCAACCUGGGAACUGCAUCCAAAACUGGCGAGCUAGAGUAGGGCAGAGGGUGGUGGAAUCUCCUGUGUAGCGGUGAAAUGCGUAGAUAUAGGAAGGAACACCAGUGGCGAAGGCGACCACCUGGGCUCAUACUGACACUGAGGUGCGAAAGCGUGGGGAGCAAACAGG